RNAcentral lists this ribosomal RNA (220 nucleotides) under Bacillus sp. 19MM FL01. RNAcentral's name for it is "partial 16S ribosomal RNA". It matches the Rfam family "Bacterial small subunit ribosomal RNA", at positions 48 to 256 of the family's 1533-position model. The record is from RNAcentral. Lineage: Bacteria; Bacillati; Bacillota; Bacilli; Caryophanales; Bacillaceae.
GCUAAUACAUGCAAGUCGAGCGGAUUGAUGGGAGCUUGCUCCCUGAUAUCAGCGGCGGACGGGUGAGUAACACGUGGGUAACCUGCCUGUAAGACUGGGAUAACUCCGGGAAACCGGGGCUAAUACCGGAUAACUCAUUUCCUCGCAUGAGGAAAUGUUGAAAGGUGGCUUCUGGCUACCACUUACAGAUGGACCCGCGGCGCAUUAGCUAGUUGGGGAG